Molecule: non-coding RNA, 24 nt
Filed under: Gossypium hirsutum (cotton)
Lineage: Eukaryota; Viridiplantae; Streptophyta; Magnoliopsida; Malvales; Malvaceae
Source: RNAcentral
UUUCGAAUUCGAGGGCAGCAGCAU